RNAcentral lists this ribosomal RNA (433 nucleotides) under uncultured bacterium. RNAcentral's name for it is "partial 16S ribosomal RNA". It matches the Rfam family "Bacterial small subunit ribosomal RNA", at positions 29 to 507 of the family's 1533-position model. The record is from RNAcentral.
AACGAACGCUGGCGGCAUGCUUAACACAUGCAAGUCGAACGGGACCUUCGGGCUUUGUGGCGCUGCGCUGCGUAACGCCUGGUAACUUGCACUUAGGUUCGGUGCACUUCACUGUAGGGUAUCUUCAUGCAACUUAAUGUAUUAGGACCUAAGAUUUCCUGCCUUUGGAUGGGGGUGGGUUGGUUUCGCUAGUUGGUAGGGUAAAAGCCUACCAAGGCGAUGAUCCAUAGCUGGUGUGUGAGGAUGAUUAGCCAGACUGGGACUGAGGCACGGCCCAGACUCCGACGGGAGGCAGCAGUAGAUAAUAUUGGACGAGGAACGAAAGCCUGAUCCAGCAAUGCCGCGUGAGAGAGGAAGGCCUUAGGGUUGUAAAUCUCUUUUUCCCGGGAUGAUAAUGACAGUACCGGGAGAAUAAGCUCCGGCUAACUCCGUG